CGUUAUGGCUAGGACAAUGGUGGGCUGAUGAAGCGUGUCAGAUCUGGAAGGAAGCAGCACUAAGUCGGUGCCGCCAUGUGUCUGAUUUUUAUAUAGGUA
RNAcentral lists this signal recognition particle RNA (99 nucleotides) under Vagococcus bubulae. Its description in RNAcentral is "Vagococcus sp. SS1994 signal recognition particle sRNA small type". It matches the Rfam family "Bacterial small signal recognition particle RNA". Rfam says of the family: The signal recognition particle (SRP) is a universally conserved ribonucleoprotein involved in the co-translational targeting of proteins to membranes. Archaeal SRP consists of a 7S RNA and homologues of the eukaryotic SRP19 and SRP54 proteins. Lineage: Bacteria; Bacillati; Bacillota; Bacilli; Lactobacillales; Enterococcaceae. The record is from RNAcentral.